CCUCCAAUCAGUCAAGAAUACCCGCUGAAUUUAAGCAUAUCAGUAAGCGGAGGAAAUGAAUCUAACAAGGAUUCCCUCAGUAACGGCGAGUGAAGCGGGAAAAGCUCAGACUGAAAAUCUUCGGAGUUGUAGUCUGGAGAAGCCAGGUCAGCUUUAAGUUUCGGAUAAAGUCUCUUGGAACAGAGCGCCGUGGAGGGUGAUAGCCCCGUUCAUGUCUGAAACGAAAGGUGUACGACCGGCUUUCUAAGAGUCGAGUUGUUUGGGAUUGCAGCUCUAAGUGGGUGGUAAAUUCCAUCUAAAGCUAAAUAUAAAUGGGAGACCGAUAGCGAACAAGUACCGUGAGGGAAAGAUGCAAAGAACUUUGAAAAGAGAGUUAAACAGUACCUGAAAUUGCUGAAAUGGAACCGAUGGGAAGCAGU
RNAcentral lists this ribosomal RNA (419 nucleotides) under Spumella rivalis. RNAcentral describes it as "eukaryotic LSU rRNA". It matches the Rfam family "Eukaryotic large subunit ribosomal RNA", at positions 1 to 433 of the family's 3401-position model. The record is from RNAcentral. Lineage: Eukaryota; Chrysophyceae; Chromulinales; Chromulinaceae.